Non-coding RNA from Danio rerio (zebrafish), 119 nucleotides. NCBI's taxonomy places the organism in Eukaryota, Metazoa, Chordata, Actinopteri, Cypriniformes, Danionidae. The record is from Rfam.
AAUGGUGAGCUAUUCCUGGGCAGGGUGAAGCCAGAGGAAACUCUGGUGGAGGCCUGCAGCAGUCCUGAUGUGGGUCCGACCUGGGUAAAGAAGCAAAAGACUAAUCGAACCAUUUAGUA